CUGAUGGCGACCGGCGCACGGGUGAGUAACACGUAUCCAACCUGCCGAUAACUCGGGGAUAGCCUUUCGAAAGAAAGAUUAAUACCCGAUGGUAUAAUCAGACCGCAUGGUUUGAUUAUUAAAGAAUUUCGGUUAUCGAUGGGGAUGCGUUCCAUUAGGCAGUUGGUGAGGUAACGGCUCACCAAACCUUCGAUGGAUAGGGGUUCUGAGAGGAAGGUCCCCCACAUUGGAACUGAGACACGGUCCAA
Molecule: ribosomal RNA, 248 nt
Filed under: uncultured bacterium
Lineage: Bacteria
Description: partial 16S ribosomal RNA
Rfam family: Bacterial small subunit ribosomal RNA
Source: RNAcentral